GGUGCAUGAAAUUAGUUGAUAAUGUGGUUCAAGCUGGAAAAUGAAUUAAGUAUGAUCUGAAAAAAGGACUAUUUAAGUACCAGUGAUUACAUGAAGAGGGAAAAAGUUAAUUCUAUGAGGAUAGCCAAAUGAAAGACAUGGAUGAUAAAGAUGCUGUGACCAGAAGUAGGAUAUUUAUGUGUUACGAUCUGUUAGUAGAGCAAUGCCAUGGGAAAGUAAAAUUCAGCAUGUGACCAUGUUUCAAAUUACAAUUAUGUCAUAGUGAUAGAGUGUACUGUGGAAUCAAAU
RNAcentral lists this long non-coding RNA (288 nucleotides) under Bos taurus (domestic cattle). Its description in RNAcentral is "long non-coding RNA NONBTAT018663". Lineage: Eukaryota; Metazoa; Chordata; Mammalia; Artiodactyla; Bovidae. The record is from RNAcentral.